UACGUAGGGGGCAAGCGUUGUCCGGAAUCAUUGGGCGUAAAGAGCGUGUAGGCGGCCCGGUAAGUCCGCUGUGAAAGUCCAGGGCUCAACCCUGGGAUGCCGGUGGAUACUGUCGGGCUCGAGUCCGGAAGAGGAGUGUGGAAUUCUCGGUGUAGCGGUGAAAUGCGUAGAUAUCGAGAGGAACACCUGCGGCGAAGGCGGGUUGCUGGGCUGAUACUGACGCUGAGGCGCGAAAGCCAGGGGAGCGAACGGG
RNAcentral lists this ribosomal RNA (253 nucleotides) under uncultured bacterium. RNAcentral describes it as "partial 16S ribosomal RNA". It matches the Rfam family "Bacterial small subunit ribosomal RNA", at positions 524 to 776 of the family's 1533-position model. The record is from RNAcentral.